GAAUGGCUCAUUAAAUCAGCUAUGGUUUAUUGGAUCGUACUCGUUAAAUGGAUAACUGUAAUAACUCUAGAGCUAAUACAUGCUUCGAUGCCCUGACCCUGUUCGCUUAUCUAUCCAUCUAUCUGUCUGUUUGUCUGCUUGCUUAAUGUAGCUGGCGGUCAGUUGCAGUGGUGGGUAGUAGCAUAGCAGGGGAUGGGUGCACUUAUUAGAUCAGAAGCCAACCAACUGCUUGCACGUGCGUAGCGUACGUAGGCGACGACGACCGUUGUUGCUUAUUGUAUACAUGUGUGCGUGGAGGCGUUGAGAGGAGAAGACCGCUUCUGGUGACUCUGGAUAAUUGUUACAGAUCGCAGUCGGCCUUGAGUCGGCGACGGGUCCUUCAAAUGUCUGCCCUAUCAACUGUCGAUGGUAGGUGACCUGCCUACCAUGGUGAUAACGGGUAACGGGGAAUCAGGGUUCGAUUCCGGAGAGGGAGCCUGAGAAACGGCUACCACUUCCAAGGGAGGCAGCAGGCGCGCAAAUUACCCACUCCCGGCACGGGGAGGUGGUGACGAAAAAUACCGAUGCGGGACUCCUUUAAGAGGCUCCGUAAUCGGAAUGAGUGGACUCUAAAUCCUUUCACGAGGAUCAAUUGGAGGGCAAGUCUGGUGCCAGCAGCCGCGGUAACUCCAGCUCCAAUAGCGUAUAUUAAAGUUGCUGCAGUUAAAAAGCUCGUAGUUGGAUCUCGGUGGCAUUGUUGCCUGUUGGUAAUUGAGCGGUCGGUGUGUGGUCGAUGAUGGCAAUGAUGCACGGCAGUCUUGCUGCCGGCAGUAGCACAUAGCCUGCUGCAUGUGUGCAUGUAGUGGCGGUAGUAGUAGUAGUGGUGGUGGUGGUGGUGGCGGUGGUGGUACGUAGUCGCCAGGCGCGCCUCUUAGUGUGUGUGUGGGUGUAUGCAUGCCAUUGCUGCUGCUCUGCUGCUGUUGCUGCUGCUGCUGCUGCUGCUGCUUCUGCAUAGACAGUUAGGGUGUGUGUGCUGGUGCAUGUGCUUGUGAGGAUGUAUCUUGUGGGUCAUGUCGUCUACGCCAUAAAGAAGCACUGUCGUGUCAAGCCGACGAGGUGAUGGUGUCGCCUUUAAGCCAUGUCUGUGGUGUGACAGCCGCAGGUGUGGACGGGUGGUGGGCGGUGCUCUGCACACGUUGUGGGGCCUGUCGGCUCGUCUGCAUGCCUUUGGAUGCCCUUGAAUGAGGUGUCUGUAGGCGGAUGGCACGUUUACUUUGAACAAAUUUGAGUGCUCAAAUCAGGCCGAUGUUGCCUGAAAAGUUUUGCAUGGAAUAAUGGAAUAGGACUUCGGUUCUAUUUCGUUGGUUUUCGGAUCCGAAGUAAUGAUCAAAAGAGACAGGCGGGGACGUUUGUAUGGCUGCGCUAGAGGUGAAAUUCAUGGACCGUAGCCAGACAAACUAAAGCGAAAGCAUUCGUCAAGCAUGUUUUCAUUGGCCAUGAGCGAAAGUCAGAGGCUCGAAGACGAUCAGAUACCGUCCUAGUUCUGACCAUAAACGAUGCCAACUGACGAUCCGUGGUGGUAGUAGCAUUACCUUCCCCACGGGCAGUCCCCGGGAAACCUUUAAGUGUUUGGGUUCCGGGGGAAGUAUGGUUGCAAAGCUGAAACUUAAAGGAAUUGACGGAAGGGCACCACCAGGAGUGGAGCCUGCGGCUUAAUUUGACUCAACACGGGAAAACUCACCCGGGCCGGACACUAUGAGGAUUGACAGAUUGAGAGCUCUUUCUUGAUUUGGUGGUUGGUGGUGCAUGGCCGUUCUUAGUUGGUGGAGCGAUUUGUCUGGUUAAUUCCGAUAACGAACGAGACUCCAGCCUGCUAAUUAGUGCAUUUGUCCACUACACCUGUGAAGGUGGCGUUGGAUAAUAUCACUUGCCACGGGUGGAUAGGCCUUACUCGCUCAUUCUUGCCCGUCUAUUCUCCGCCUUCGCCUCUGCCUGUGCCUCCUCCUCCUCCUCCUCCUCCUGGAUGGAUGGAUGGAUGGAUGGAUGGAUGGAAGGGUGGAUGGUAUGGGUGGAUGGUAUGGUAUGGUAUGGGAUGGGAUGGGUGGGGCAUGACGCUUGUGGUAAUGUUAGUCUGGUGCCAGCCUCCGGGUGUGGCGCGAAUGCCUACUUCUUAGAGGGACAAGCGGGAGAAGCCGCACGAAAUAGAGCAAUAACAGGUCUGUGAUGCCCUUAGAUGUCCGGGGCCGCACGCGCGCUACAAUGACGGUGUCAACGAGUUAGACCUUCUGGCCCGAAAGGGUUGGGCAAACUGGUCAAUCACCGUCGUGACAGGGAUCGGGGCUUGGAAUUGUUCCCCGUGAACGAGGAAUUCCUAGUAAGUGCAAGUCAUAAGCUUGCGCUGAUUACGUCCCUGCCCUUUGUACACACCGCCCGUCGCUACUACCGAUUGAAUGGUUUAGUAAGGUCCUUGGAUUGGCGUCAUUGUGGCGGUGGCUGAGAGGUCACGGCCCGACAGGCGCUGAGAAGACGACC
This 2511-nucleotide ribosomal RNA is filed under the name Taenia caixuepengi. RNAcentral's name for it is "SSU rRNA". It matches the Rfam family "Eukaryotic small subunit ribosomal RNA". Lineage: Eukaryota; Metazoa; Platyhelminthes; Cestoda; Cyclophyllidea; Taeniidae. The record is from RNAcentral.